CACCAAUCAAGCCUGGCUUGGUAUUGUGGUCCGCCUUCCAGCGGCCUCUAAACACAGUGGCGGUGCCGUUAGGCUCUCAGCGUAGUAAUUUUCUCGCUACAGAGUCCUGAGGUUACUUGCCAUAACCCAAAUUUCAAA
RNAcentral lists this unclassified non-coding RNA (138 nucleotides) under uncultured Helotiales. Its description in RNAcentral is "sequence contains ITS2". The record is from RNAcentral. Lineage: Eukaryota; Fungi; Ascomycota; Leotiomycetes; Helotiales.